This is an RNA transcript of Nerophis ophidion (straightnose pipefish), 1588 nucleotides long. It is a transcript of the gene named protein-L-isoaspartate (D-aspartate) O-methyltransferase, with no coding region annotated. The record is from RefSeq and is a predicted model, not a curated record. The transcript has 8 exons. NCBI's taxonomy places the organism in Eukaryota, Metazoa, Chordata, Actinopteri, Syngnathiformes, Syngnathidae.
CGCAACUACAUCGGUAAAUCUGCUAAUCCAAUGAGCUAGCGAUAUACAAAUAACCUUGGAAAAGGCACAUUUUUCGCAGUUUUAUUCGUAGUCAUAUGACGCGACUUUGCAUUAAACUGUGUCUGAAAGACAGGCAGCCAGAUUGCUGAUCCAUCGUGGAUGUCUAGUGACGUAUCCGCUUCGGAGGUUGCCAGCUUCAUAGGCAAGACAUUUGGCGCAGGCGCGGCACUGACGGCUGCUGUCUACUUAGUCCGCAAAGUCUGCCUGAUAAUGGCGUGGAAAUCAGGGGGAGCUAGCCACGCAGAGCUCGUCAACAACCUCCGCAAAAAUGGCAUCAUCAAAUCGGACAAGGUCUACGAAGUGAUGCUGGCCACAGACCGGACCCAUUUCUCUCGUUGUAACCCUUACAUGGACUCCCCGCAGUCCAUAGGCUUCCAAGCAACCAUCAGCGCCCCACACAUGCACGCCUACGCCCUGGAGCUUCUACACGACCAGCUGUACGAGGGCGCCAAAGCCUUGGACGUGGGCUCCGGCAGUGGAAUCCUCUCGGUUUGCUUCGCACGAAUGGUAGGUCCUAAAGGCAAAGUCAUUGGCAUCGAUCACAUCAAGGAGCUCGUGGACGAAUCUAUAAACAACGUGAAGAAAGACGACCCCAGUUUGAUCACGUCGGGGCGAAUCACACUAACAGUUGGAGACGGACGACUGGGCUACACGGAGGAGGCGCCUUACGACGCCAUCCAUGUUGGCGCCGCAGCAUCAACGGUCCCGCAAGCUCUCCUGGACCAGCUGAAGCCCGGCGGUCGCCUCAUCCUUCCCGUGGGCCCGGCCGGGGGCAACCAGAUGUUGGAGCAGUACGACAAGCUGGAGGACGGCAGCACCAAAAUGAAGCCCUUGAUGGGGGUGAUAUAUGUGCCUUUAACGGACCGAGACAAGCAGUGGUCCAGGUGGAAGUGACUUCCUUCCUACUCCCCCUUCCCCUCCUUUCCUCCUGUACCCUUCUCUCCUUCUCACAGCGGAAAAGGGAUGAACUCUGAACAGCAGGACAGUCCAUAAACGCACCAUUUAAAUUUCAAAUCCUGGAAGAAACUCUGACUGGGGGAAGGGUUCAAGCAGUCCUUACACUAAAUUCAUUCAUAAUCAUCACGGACUCCUUUUCCCCAUUUCUCCUUUUUUUCCCGCCCCACAUGCAAUACAAGUAUUACAAAUAUCGGAGAGCGCUGGACUUUGUUGACAGAAGCUUGUAAGAUGAUUGACAUAGUUCAACCUCCCUGCUAAUAAUAUAUACAUAUAAGCUUUAGCCGCCCGCCCGAUGAUAGCAGUAUUAGCAACACAAUGGCUGACACAAACCCUCACAUCCUGUUUGCUGAGCAUCGUUUAAACAUCAACCACACGUGCAAAGAUGCUACUUUCCUCGCACGUCGUCACACGCGAAUAACUUUUGCCAAAAUAAAUAUCAAGCAAAUGAAUGUCUGGUGUCUUCGGGGAGGGGAAGAAAUGAAAUCUUGAAGCACAUUUUAUUUUCUGUGAUAUAAAUAUGGCUGUCAACUUCUAGAAUGGCAUAUGACAAUAAAGAGUUGCUUAUGUUUUA